AUCCCUGGUAGGGGCCCAAUCGCAAUACCAUUAAAACGCAAUUGUCCUAAAUUAAAAUGGGAAAUCCAAAGCUGCAGUAGCCAAAUAGGCCUGUCUAGCAGACAACAAUCUGAAUUGGAUGCCUCCCUGAAGAUAAGCCAUUUUACUGCAGAACAUGAUGAUGUCUUUAUCGGCGUGACGAUAAACAAUAGGCUUUUCACAGCCAGGGGACGCAGACUAAUUCAAGUCUUGAAGAAACAUCAGGAAGAUGUGCAGUGCUGCAAAUCCCACAGGGACCAGAGGGAUGGGCCUUUAAAGGGGCUCUGCAAGUGAACAUGAAAACAAGGAUAUGGCCCAGGCAAAACAAAGAUCUCCUGGUCCAGCCUGAUAUCUCCCUGACUCAAUGGGAGGGGUCUCCAGGGGCCACCUGGAGCCUGAGGUGUUCAGGGGCCACAGCUUCACCCUCACUUAUUCCACUCAGCCACAGUACCCAGGAGGCUCUUUCCACUUCACGUUCACCAGCUCCAACAGAACCCAGACAGCUGUAAAUCACUCUGCUGCCUUCCUCUUCCCUGCUGUAGAUGACUCCCACCAAAGGAAUUACAGCUGUGUUUAUGAGAAUUAUGUUUUCUCUCAUAACUUCUACUCUGAGAGUGAGUUCCUCUCCCUCACAGCCUCUCCUCUGCCCACCUUCAUCAUCAGACAUGUUGUAGUGCUGCUGAUCCUACUGACAGCCAUCACUGCCUUCUACCUGUACUUCAAGAAGGCAGAAGAGUGAGUGACUCACAGCAAGGUCUGACCAACACAGGAGGGAAAAACAGAAUACACAAAUACCAAAUCACAUUGGAACCCAAAUAAGAGAGGGGAAAAAAAUAUGUAAAGAAGGGAGAAUUUGUUUUUUUAAAGAAGAAAAAAAAAGAAAACCCGAAAACAUUUGCCACUCAUACUGCACUCCUGGUAACCUUUUGACCUCUUGUCACCGUGGGCAACAGGCUUCAUCUGAUCUUUUAAGGAGCUCUUCUGAUUGGCUGAGACAGAGCCCAAGCAAAGAGAAAGCAUGAAGUAUGGACCAAUUCCAUAUCGAGAUGAGUCACAAGAUGGCGGGUACGCCCGAAUGGUUGUUGGACUUAGAGAUGGAGUCAGGGGAACCCAUAGAGUAUGGUAAGAAGGUGGGAGGAAAAAAGGAAGAAAGUGGAACAUAAUAAGAGUAAAUAGAGUGCUGCAGAAGGAAAUUGAACAUAACGAGAGAGAGGAUGAAUUAACUGCGGUGGCAGGUGCGGUGAAUAACGCUGAGUUUGAGCCUCAUUCAGAUGGUGAUAAAUAUGUUUUUUUCCCCAGUGGGAGUGAGAUUUUUGGAGAGAACGGGUCUCUGCCUUCUGGCUGAUCUAUAUGUGGUGUCAGGUUGGUUGGGGAAUGUUGGGUCGGUGAAAGUGACUCGAAGUGGAAUCGUGUCGAUUUUUUGCGUUUCUGCCAUCCAGAGGGAGUAUGUACUCCGCACCACACCACUGGGGAACUGUGACUUGCUUUCCUCUCCGGAGCAGGGCACCAUUGAAAACACUGAUAACUGGAGUGGCGUUAAAGGGGUAUAUCACCCUGGGGGAAUCUGGCCUUUUUUCAUCAUAUCUGAGGCAUUUCUAGGUCAGUGAAAAGUGUUUCACACAUAAUUGCCCAGGAGGAAGCCAGGUCUGGGCUUUGCGCACUGAAUGAUACACCAUAUGCGGCUUCUGGUGUAUUGAUGGGAGGCUUUUUUGAAAGGGAGGGGGACACUAACAACACAAUCCAUUGGGAAAAACUGAAAGAACGGACCAGACCACAAUGGCUUCAAGUGAUACCUCUCAUCAACACAAAUUCGAAGAUGACAUUCAACCAUACAUGUUUCAACCUGAAUAUAGCAAAGAAGAUUCGAAACAAAGAAUUGGAUUUAGAUAGAAGCUCAGCUAAAGCUGAUGCCAGUACCUAGAGGGCAGAUGACAAAUAAGGUGGCUAGCUAAGUACGUUAUUUUUCCUGGAAGCCACCUAGAUAGCUAGCUAACUUUAGUUUAUUUACUGAAACCUAUAUUGUGUAUUGCUGGCUAACAUACUACUGUGUUACAGUGGGGAUAAAUCUAAUUCUAAGUAGCUAGCUAGCUAGUCUGGCUAAGUUAGCUAAACAACUACAGGUAGCCAUAUCUAGGCCAAAAAAGAGGGGUUUUACAAUCAGAGAUAUAUUGUAUCUUGAUUGUAAAACCUCUUCUGUUUUUAAUUGUAGAUAUGGCUAUUAAACAGCAAGCUAUAAUGUUACAACCAGC
This 2267-nucleotide long non-coding RNA is filed under the name Salmo salar (Atlantic salmon). RNAcentral describes it as "lncRNA (ENSSSAG00000085079.1, ENSSSAG00000112548.1)". Lineage: Eukaryota; Metazoa; Chordata; Actinopteri; Salmoniformes; Salmonidae. The record is from RNAcentral.